CUAGCCCAGGCUGCUCACAGCUCCAUCCAGCUUGGCCUUGGACACUUCCAGGGAUCCAGGGGCAGCCACAGCUUCAAUGAUGCAACACCUGAAGAUACUUCCAUUACAUGAAGUCUUUUCUCUCCAGACUUCAGCACUCUGAGAAAAACCCUUAUGGAGACAAAUCUGUGCUGCCCACAUAUGGCUCCUAGAGCACUCAGAAAUGCUCUUUCCCUGUGGCUGCAGCAAUAAAUGUUAUUAUAUAGAAA
Molecule: non-coding RNA, 248 nt
Organism: Taeniopygia guttata (zebra finch)
Lineage: Eukaryota; Metazoa; Chordata; Aves; Passeriformes; Estrildidae
Source: RefSeq, a predicted model, not a curated record